GUGCUUACUUCAGUAGCACAUACACUAAAAUUUGGAACGAUACAGGGAAGAUUAGCAUGGCCCUUAUGCAAGGAUGACACACAAAUGUGUGAAGUGUUCCAUAUUCUC
Molecule: small nuclear RNA, 108 nt
Organism: Cebus imitator (Panamanian white-faced capuchin)
Lineage: Eukaryota; Metazoa; Chordata; Mammalia; Primates; Cebidae
Source: Ensembl